This 213-nucleotide long non-coding RNA is filed under the name Elaeis guineensis (African oil palm). Its description in RNAcentral is "long non-coding RNA (EGUI_LNC058170)". Lineage: Eukaryota; Viridiplantae; Streptophyta; Magnoliopsida; Arecales; Arecaceae. The record is from RNAcentral.
UUGGUUCUCAUCAUGAGGAUGGUCUCGAGUGAAAGAUCUAGAAGAUCGAGCGGAAGCUUAAGACAUUCUGGGAGAGAGAUCGGAGGCAUGAUGAGUCCCUCAGUUUUAAUUUACACCCAUCUUUCUCUCAAAGGAUAUUGGAGGAACCAAUUCCAUCUCGAUUCAAAAUGCCAUAAGUGUAACUGUACAAUAGCUCCUUAGAUCUACUAGACC